UAGCUAGUUGGUGGGGUAAGGGCCUACCAAGGCGACGAUCGGUAGCUGGUCUGAGAGGAUGACCAGCCACACUGGAACUGAGACACGGUCCAGACUCCUACGGGAGGCAGCAGUGGGGAAUAUUGGACAAUGGGGGCAACCCUGAUCCAGCAAUGCCGCGUGUGUGAAGAAGGCCUGAGGGUUGUAAAGCACUUUCAGUGGGGAGGAGGGUUGAUAGGUUAAGAGCUAAUUAACUGGACGUUACCCACAGAAGAAGUACCGGCUAACUCCGUGCCAGCAGCCGCGGUAAUACGGAGGGUGCGAGCGUUAAUCGGAAUUACUGGGCGUAAAGGGUGCGUAGGUGGUUGAUUAAGUUAUCUGUGAAAUUCCUGGGCUUAACCUGGGACGGUCAGAUAAUACUGGUUGACUCGAGUAUGGGAGAGGGUAGUGGAAUUUCCGGUGUAGCGGUGAAAUGCGUAGAGAUCGGAAGGAACACCAGUGGCGAAGGCGGCUACCUGGCCUAAUACUGACACUGAGGCACGAAAGCGUGGGGAGCAAACAGGAUUAGAUACCCUGGUAGUCCACGCUGUAAACGAUGUCAACUAGCUGUUGGUUAUAUGAAAAUAAUUAGUGGCGC
RNAcentral lists this ribosomal RNA (616 nucleotides) under uncultured Legionella sp. RNAcentral describes it as "bacterial SSU rRNA". It matches the Rfam family "Bacterial small subunit ribosomal RNA", at positions 242 to 849 of the family's 1533-position model. Lineage: Bacteria; Pseudomonadati; Pseudomonadota; Gammaproteobacteria; Legionellales; Legionellaceae. The record is from RNAcentral.